RNAcentral lists this long non-coding RNA (17543 nucleotides) under Zea mays. RNAcentral's name for it is "long non-coding RNA (ZMAY_LNC000328)". The record is from RNAcentral. Lineage: Eukaryota; Viridiplantae; Streptophyta; Magnoliopsida; Poales; Poaceae.
UGGAGUUAUUACAUAAAUCGGAGUUUUUCAAGUAGCUGACAUAAGUUCACAAAAUAAAAUGCAGCGGAUAAUCGAUAUCGUCGAUAGCGAGGAAUUGUGCAAGACCUAGCCCACUACUCCUCUUGCUCCUCUCCUGCCGGAACAACAUCCCACUCGACUGUCCAACCCGGUGGCAGGGUGGUAGGCCAAGUCACACCAUCAACCAUAUCCUGAAGCAUACCUGCAAAAAUUAUGCCACAAGCAAGGCUGAGUAUACUAAUACUCAACUAGACUUACCUGGUGUGAGGAGUCUACUCCUCUACCUCUAGACCAUGCAGUUGUUUGGCUGAGGGGUUUGGUUUGCCAAAAGCACUAGCUUAGUCUAAAACCAAUUUUUAGCUUUUCCAAUUCUAGUAUCAUUAAUUUAGCUAAGUUUGCUCUUUCUACACAUACAUGGUAACAAUCAUUUAAUACAAUCAACAAGUUAUCUCAUGUAAUCCUCAUUUCACUUCUUACUCAAUGUAGUACAAUGGGUCAAGCAGUCUCAUUAGCUGCGAGAAGCAGAAAAUUCGAAUCGAGUUUUAAAACCUUGCAAGGUAAACCUAAACACACGACAUGUCAGGGCACUCCGUCCCCACACAUGUCAACCGUCCCCAUCGAUUCCCCGUUCGCGGUUAGGCCUCACCGCCUUGGCAUACAAUGCUCCACUAACCCCGGCUACCGCCGUGCAGUGACCGCACUUGUACCCACUAUAGCUAGCAUGGGAGACCCAGUCUCAGGACGCGUGAGGGGUAAAGUCUGCGCCCGGCUUCACUUAGGUACUAGGUUUACCGGUUACCAUAUUUCCCGACAUGUGCUUAGUACAUUCAAAUGUUUGACUCUGGUAUCCACACAUUAAUCCUUAAUUCCUAUUUUGUCUUAUGGACAAGGCAUCCUCCCUAGAUCCAAGUCCAUAGACCAUCAUACAUCCCGUUAUCAAGAUGAAUACAAUCAAUUCCUGACCUCGCGCGAGUGCUAGAAAAAUCACUCAAUUUCUACCGAGAACCUGAUUAGCAAAGCAGCUACUCGACCUAGCAUACUAGUAUCCAUCUCAAAAAGGAAUCCUGAGUUCAUGCAACUAGAGGUUUCAAGUAACUCCUACACUUAAGUGCACAUCACAAGCCUACAAACAUUAAGUGUAGUAAAUUAGCAUAUAUAGAUACGGUUAUGCAUAAAAUCGGGGCUUGCCUUCAAUAGCUGGGGCUACGGGGAGAUCCUCGAUGGCAGUCUCGGAAGCUUGCUCCUAGUCUUCCUCAUGGACAGCUCCUUGCUCAGGGAUGAGCACGUACUCUCCGUUAGGGAGAUUGCAAUCUAAUGAAUGCAAUGAGUAAGAUAGAUGCAUGGCAUGGUAUGUAAUUUACAAUUAAGAUUUGAUGGGGGAUGUUAAAUUUAAUAAGGUAGGGCUUAUUCUUACUAGUGAUGGUUUUUGUGGUACACUUAACAAAUUAGGGUCAAGCUUGGUUAAGCUAAUUGUUAAGUUCAUUUUGGUGUUCAACUGAUUUCUUUUUAAUGUCUUAGUGAGAGUUUAUUAAGAUUUCUAGCUGAAUUCAUUGGAGUGAGAUUUAUUUCCUCUCUCUUCCUUUAUAUUUCUUUUAUGCUUUUAAGGUGGGUUUGAACUACAAGACAACAUAAUAUAUUUCAAAAAAUUCUGCAACAAUUACAGUGGCUUCUUACUGGUGUAUAAUUCUCUGUCUCAAAAUUUGGGGCUUAAAAAGUGAGGGGUUCUCUCUGUAUAAAAUUAUCAAAUAUUAGGGCAGAGGGGGUGUUUUGAACUACAACUACCUUUUAAUAGUAGGUUAUUAUCUAAGACAUAUUUUUGUUGGCAUUUAGAUGUUAUAACACGACUUUGUACGAAAUUUUAGCUACUAAUUCUUAUUAGUUAUUUUGUUAUGAUUUUCUAAAGUUUCUAGCCAAAGGGGUGCUUUCUACUACCACUAUACUUGAAAAAUAUCAAACAACAGACUUUUAAUUUUUUCUAUCUUCUUCUUUGUGCAAGAGCAAUCAUUCUGAAGUUUGGUAACUUUUUGCUUAAGGGAAGGGUGGUAGGGAUUUCUUGAACUAAAUGGUCUUUUUCAUGAAGUAGGGGCAAUGCGUAUUAUUUUGUAACUUUCAAUUGGUUUUUGCAUUUUUCUCUGGUGGCCUACUUCAUUAUUAAUCUGGUAAAAAUUUAUUUGCCCAUUAUUGCACACUUUUUUGCAUGCUUAUGAUUUAAUUGGAAUAUGGCUCAGUAUCAAGUCCUAUUUGUUUAAUCUACUUAAAAUGAUGGACUGGGGUAUUUAUCAUUUUUGUAGUGGUGUCCUAGUAGUUACAAGUCUACUAAAUUUUUCUUAACAAUUUUGAAAUUGUUUUCAUAAUUCUAAUAAUUGUCUUUCUAGUUUGAUUAGUGCCUAAUAAAACAUUUCUCCUUGAAUUUGUUCUAGACUAGGGUUCCUUUUAUUUUUCCUAGGUUCUCUAUUACUUAAGUGGACUAGAAAAAUAUUUGCAUUCACUGUUCAUUAUUUUCCAUUGCCUUUCUUAUUUUCCUAAGUUUUUGGAAAACAUGGCUUUUACUAAAUAACCUUGUUUAAAUCUUCAAUACUGGGGUGCUUACUAUUAUUAAACCGUGCCUAAGUGGGGUUUACACUUUUACAAAUUUUCUUAAGUUCAGCACAAAAGCAUAACUAAUUUUCUUUAUUUUAAUAAGGUUUGGUCAGUUUCCUUAAUUAAUUCCAAACUCUAAAAUUUAAAACAGAAAGCACAAGGUUCACUAUUUUUAUAUGACAGUUCAUAAUAUUCUGAGUCCAUAAUAAUUUGUUUGACUAGAUUUGGCUAAAUAUUUCUCAAGAUAUAAAUUUUCUAAGUUCUCUGCUGAAUUUAAAAAGAUUAAUUAGAGAUGGAUAAAGGAAAAAUGGUUUUGCACUGGGGUCCCUAGCGGAAGGUUUUAAACGUAUUACAGACAGGUCCUCGGUUCACUAUUCAUCUGGGUCUAUGACUCUGCAGAAACCCCCUAGGGUUUCCUGAAAUCGAACCCACGAUCCUUCCCCUAAUGGAACAGUGACCGCGGCGGAGGAAAAGGGCGGAGGGGCUUACCGGCGGUGAGGUUGCUCCAGUGAGGGUUCGGGCGAGGUCGGGGAGUCUCUGGCGAUCACGUCGAGGUGCAUAUCGCUGGCGAUCGUGGUCGGAGUAGGUCGGUCCACGCGCGCAAGCGGGGGAGCUCGUCGGUGGCGAGGAAUCCAGCUUAACCAGGGCGCGAUAGAUCAAUUAAAUGGGUCAAGGAGCUUCACCAGAGGUCAAGGAAGAUGUGAGCGCGAGGAAUUUGAGAAUGGCUCACCGGAUUGCUCGAUCUACACGCGGCCGCGGGCGACCGAAGUCCGACGAAGGUGAGCUUGGGUCUCCGGUGAGGUUCUGCCGGGUUCAAGAGCUUGGAAAGCUUUAUGGGCCACUGGCGAAGCUAACCGAGGGACAAGCGCGGCUUGGCCGCGGCUGGAGCGAGCUGGCCGAGGCUUGGGCAGUGAUGGCAGGUGGAGGAAAGCUCGUCGGAGCUAAGGGAGGUGUGUUUGGCCAGCGAGGGUGAGCGCAGAGUGAGGUGAGGCGCGCCCGGGGAUGGUUUUAAAAGGCGCGGGCGAGCGCAGCCGAGGGGAGGCUCUGACAAGCGCUCGGGGUGUGCGCGGGCGAGCGCCAGCGCGCGCUAUGGCGUCUGGCACAGCGUCGAGCACGAGGCAGCGCAGAGAGAGGUCGUGUUCAAGCGCGGAUUGGCUCCAAAUCUUUGAGAUUAUGGCCAUGAUCCCGUUGAGAGAUCUCUUCCUCUGACAUUCGUUUGUCGUUUGUGUGUGGAGGCUUGCAGGUUUCGCUGACUGGAUCAAGAGAUAUGGAGGGGUGAAGUUGGGUUUGUCUCAUUGCCGAACAUAGAGAGAAGAUCCCGGGUUUGACGUGUCCAGGGCACACGUCCCAAUGCCAUCUUCUGGUAUGAGGUAGAGGGGUUAGUUAGACACAUUUUUGUCAAUGGGAUCUUAGAGUUUUGAGAUAGAGAUCAAGGUGAACGCGCUCAUUUUUGGUUCAAAGGCUGAAAAUUCAGAAAUCUGAAUUUCAGAUUUCCCCAUUAAACCUCCACUUGAAUGGCUUGCUUGGAGUUUUUAACAAACUAUUUGGCCAAACUUUUAUAAUCUUUAUUGUAGCUUAGUUAGUGUAUUUCAAUUUUUAUAAUUGGCCUAAGCCAUGAUUUCAUGUUUUUCAUGGUCUUUUAUCCCUUUUCUCCCUUUCUACUUAAGUGGCUUAUUUAGGGUUGGUAUUAGGGUUUCAACAUUUUCCCCUUUUUGAAAACCUCAUUUGUUUUAGACAUGAUUCUUUAGAUGUAAACUUAGUGGAUCUUUUAUUCUUAAGUUGAUUUGGUGCUUCUUGCUCAAUUUGGCUUACAUGAAAGGAUGGCACUAGAGUUAGCAUUGAGAAGAACCUAGGUGACACUAGGGUGUAACAGCCUUCCCCCAUUAAAGGAAUCUCGUCCCGAGAUUCAGGUCAGAGUCCUCCCGGGGUGAAGCGAAGGGUGAGACUCGCUUGAAGUGGGUGCUUUAUUUAUUAAGGCAACUGCUCUUCGAAUGUCAUUCUCUUUGCAGCUUUAGAAGGAAGUCGUUUUUAACUUUAGUCUUAUAAUUAACUCAUUCUAUUUUAAGAUCAUAUUUCUUAUGUUUUGAUUUGAAGGGUAGCGGAGGAGUUGGGCAUGAUUGCGUACCAAUUUCCGUAGGUAGACAAUCGUGAAAGAUGGAACGCAGAAAUUCCUUAGUCUCCCUAGUAGCCUCUUCCUCUGAGUGAUUACUCCAUUGGAUCUUAUACAUCUUGAUCGAUUUAGCCCGAGUUGAUCUUUCUUUGCAAUCCAGAACCUUGGAAGGGUACUCUUGGUACGAUAGAUCUGGCUCUAUUUCCAAUUAUGGUUCUGCUAUGAUCUCAGUCGGCAAUUGAACACAUUUCUUCAGUUGGGAUACAUGGAACACAUUGUGGAUGGCAGACAUUUUUGGAGGUAACUUCAAUUUGUAUGUCACGGGUCCACAUGCUUCUAUGAUCUCAUAAGGUCCAAUGUAACGAGGGGCUAACUUGCCUUUGAUCCCGAAUCUCUGCACUCCCUUGGUGGGUGAUACCUUCAGAUAUACGAAAUCUCCCACCUCGAACUGGAGAGGUUUCCUUCACUUAUCUUGGUAACUCUUCUGCCUGGCUUGAGCAGCUUCUAGAUUCUUCCUGAUUAGUGUGACCUUCCUUUCGGCUUCAGUCACUAAGUCAGGUCCGAAAACUUCUCUUUCUCUAGGCUGAGACCAAUUGAGGGGUGUUCGACACCUUCUUCCAUAUAGGGCUUCCAAGGGUGCCAUCUUUAGGCUGGAUUGAUAACUGUUGUUAUAAGCAAACUCUGCCAAGGAGAGGUGCUUAUCCUAGUUCUUGCCACAAUCGAUCGCACAAGCCCUCAGCAUAUCUUCAAGAAUUUCAUUAACCCUCUCGGUCUGACCAUCAGUCUAUGGGUGGCAAGCUGAACUCCUAAUUAGCUUGGUUCCCAAAGACCCUUGCAAUUGUUCCCAAAAUCUGGCAAUAAAUUAGGCUCCUCGGUCAGAGACAAUGGUCCAGUGCAAUCCGUGCAAACACACGAUUCAGUCAAUGUACAACUCUGCAUACUUUUGAGCCUUAUCAGUGGUGUGCACUGGGAGAAAAUGUGCCACUUUUGUCAGUCGGUCCACAAUAACCCAAAUCGAAUCAUGUUGACGAGAGGUGUUGGGCAGACCCACAAUGAAAUCCAUGCUGAUGUCAUCCCAUUUCCACGAAGGUAUAGAUAGGGGUUGCAAAGCUCCAGCUGAUUUCAAGUGACUCGCCUUUAUCCUCUGACAUGUGUCACAUUCUGGUACAUAUUGGGCUAUCUCCCUCUUCAUUCUGGUCCACCAAUACAAGAGCUUCAGAUCAUGUUACAUUUUGGUGCUCCCUGGAUGCAUGGAAAAUUUGGAGAGAUGGGCCUCAUCCAAGAUUUUCUUCUUGAGAUCUUUAUUUUUAGGAACCACCAAUCUGCUUUCAAACAACAAUAUACCCUUUCCAUCUUGGCGGAAACAUUUAUACUUCUCGGUCUUCUGAUGGAGGUUCUCCUUAAUAAUUUGCACUCCCUUGUCACUGAGCUGGGCCAUGAUGAUCUGGUCUUGCAAAGCUGGCUCAACGGAAAUGUGAGACAAAGCACCAGAAGGAAUCACUUCAAUCUUCAUUUUGCUCAACUCAUCACACAGGGUGUCAAUACUAGAAUCCAUCAUAACACAGUUGCAUUGUAAUUUCCGACUCAAGGCAUCUGCCACUACAUUGGCCUUUCCUGGGUGAUAAUGUACCUCCAGGUCAUAGUCCUUGAUCAGCUCUAGCCAUCUUCUCUGCCUCAUGUUGAGAUCAGCCUGAGUAAAGAUAUACUUAAGGCUCUUAUGAUAUGCGAAGAUGUUGCAGUGGGUUCUCAUCAAAUAGUGUCUCCACAUUUUCAAUGCAUGGACCACAGCUGCUAACUCCAAGUCAUGAGUGGGAUAAUUUUGCUCAUGAGGCCUGAGUGCUCUUGAUGAGUAAGCAAUGACUCAGUUGUCUUGCAUCAAGACACAACCCAGUCCAGUGCUAGAGGCAUCACAGUACACAUCAAAUGGCUUGCUGUUGUUGGGUUGCGCUAACACUGGUGCUGUGGUCAGAUGUUGCCUCAAUGCAUGGAAGGCAUCUUCGCAUUUCUGACCCCAAACAAACAUGACUUUUUUCUUCAGCAAUUCAGUUAUGGGCUUCGCAAUUCGAGAGAAAUCUGGAAUGAAUCUUCGAUAAUAACCAGCUAAUCCCAGAAAACUUCGAAUCUGAUGGACAGUCAUUGGCGGCUUCCAAUUCAUUACCUCUUGCACCUUAUGAGGAUCAACAACUAUACCUGCCUGAGAGAUAGUGUGACCCAAGAAUUUGAUCUCCUUUAGCCAAAAAUCGCAUUUUGACAAUUUGGCAUAAAGAUGGUGCUCUCGCAGACGUUGAAGCACUACAUGCAAAUGCCCGGCAUGCUCUUCUUCGUUCUUUGAGUACACCAAAAUAUCAUCAAUGAAAACCACUACGAACUUGUUCAAAUCAGGCAUGAAAAUAGAAUUCAUCAGAUACAUGAAGUAUGCUGGUGCAUUAGUCAGCCCAAAAGACAUCACCAAGAAUUCAUACAGCCCAUAUCCGGUCGAGAAGGCAGUCUUCGGAAUAUCACUUGCUCGUAUCUUGAUCUGAUGAUAGCCGGAGCGAAGGUCUAUCUUGGAAAACACUUUGGCUCCGACCAACUGAUUGAAAAUAACAUCAAUACGAGGCAAAGGAUACUUAUUCUUGAUAGUCACCGCGUUAAGUGGGCGGUAAUCUAUGCAUAGCCUCAAGGUUUCAUCCUUCUUCUUUACAAACAAGGCUGGACAUCCCCAAGGCGAAGUACUUGGGCGAAUAAAACCUUUGUCCAACAAUUCUUGCAAUUGCUUCUUCAAUUCUGCCAACUCAGCGGGUGGCAUCCGGUAAGGUCUCUUGGAAAUAGGUGUCGUUCCCGGUUGCAACUCGAUGGCGAAUUCGAUAUCCCGGUCUGGGGGCAUUCAUGGUAAUUCUUCCAGAAAAACAUCUGCAUACUCACAGACCACUAGAAUCUUCUUCAGGGGUUACUCCGACAUAGCAAAAGCACAUGACUGAGUAGAAUCUUGACUGGGCAGAAACAAGGUGAAACUCCCACAGAUUCGGGAAUUGAUUUCAACGAUGCAGCUGGUAACAUCGAGCACUACUUUGUGUCUGGUCAUCCAAUUUGUUCCUAGAAUAAUAUCCACAUUCUCCAAACCCAAAACAAGAAGGGUGGUUUUGAUAAUGUGGCUUCCCAGUUGAAUAGGCACACUUUGGUUUAAUUGGUUAGUUGCAAUUUUACCCCCAGGUGUGGCUAUCAUGAAUGACCCUUUUGUGUGAUAGAAAGGCAGUUGACAUUUAGCACUGAACUUUUGGCUAAUGAAACUAUGAGAUGCACCAGAAUCAAACAAAAUUAAUGCAGGUUGAUUAUAAACUGAAAAGAUACUAGUCAUGAUGGGGGCUCCUUCAGGUAACUCCUCCAGAGUAGUGAAGUUGAGCUUCCCUUGCCUGACUUGCACCUUCUGCUUUCUUCCCUUGUCUUGAUUUGGUGCUGGCAUCUGCCUAUGCUGAUUUCUUGGGCAACUCUUGGCAUAGUGACCCACAUUGCCGAAAGUGAAGCACUUGUUCCCAUUUCCCUGGCAAAACUGCUGCUGAGGAGGCUGAUUGUUCCUUGGAGCGGGAGCUCGAAAACGAGUGGGUGCCGGCUGCUGCUGCUGAGGUGGCCUGAUCACCCAUCUGCCUACCUUCUGCUGAAAUCCCCUGCUCUGAUUAUGGGAAACAAUCCUGAACCUCUAGGUCUAAGCGGAGGGUGCUGCCAUUGAUGCCUUUCUUUUCUUCUCUGCCCAGUGAGCUACAAUACAAUCCUCCUGGGAGAUGGCCAGGUUGACCAACUCAUUGAUACUAUCAGCCCGGACAGUGUUGAGACGUUCACGCAGGUUGGUGUUGAGACCCCUGCGGAAGCGGUCUCUCUUCUUCUCAUCAGAAUCAUCAUGAUAACCUGCGUACUGGCACAGGUCAUUGAAGGCCUUAGCGUACUGCAAUACCGUGCGGGUUCCUUGAUUGAGUGGUAGGAAUUCAUUCAGCUUGCGAUCAAGAAUUCCAGUUGGGAUAUGGUGCCCUCUGAAAGUAGUCUUGAAUUCCUCCCAAGACACUUCAUGAUCAGCAGGUAGCAUAGCACGGAAGUGGUCCCACCAAGUCUGAGCAGGGCCGCGAAGCUGCUGCGCGGCGAAGCGAGCCUUGGUAUCAUCAGGGCAGUCUCCCGCGAGGAGGGGAAACUUGGACUCCAUGACGCGUAACCACACGUCGGCAUCCAACGAAUCCUCUGCCUUGGUGAACAAGGGCGGCUGCGUGCUCAGGAAUUCCUAGUAGGUUGCCGCUGCCGGAGGUCGCUGCAGCUGGCCUCCACCAUGCUGCUGAGGGUGGGGCUGGCGCUACAAGAGCUAUCGCAGAAUCUCGUUCUGCUGGGCCAUGAGCUCCUGCACUGUGGGAGCUGGAGGAGGUGGCGUGGGACUUGCUCGUUAUGCCCACGACGCUGCCUAGCUGCCAUCUGAUAACAGAGAUUGUCGCCAUUGUUAUCCCAACUCACAAUUUCGAACAACAUGCUAUUAUCUCAUAUGGAAAGAAAUUGCCAUAAUCAUAAUGUUGGGGGCCUUCGUCCUUCGAAGGUCCUCAAAAACGUAAUUUAAUAAUGUCUUCCAAGCAUGGUUUAUAGACAGGUACCUUCGGAUUCAGGAUUAAAGGCAUAUACGAUGAGAAGGGCAUGAUCAUUAUGAAGGUUGCCGUUGCUUCGAAGCUAUGCACAAGGGAGCUUCGGCUCAAUCGCGGGAAAAGGAACCAACUUAAAGGGGAAAAGGUUAUCCAGUCCUCAUAGAUUUUUCUAUAAGCCAAUAAUAAAUGUAAAGGGCAUGACUGUAAUUUCUCAUAGGCUGUGUCCUGUGCCUAUAAAUAGGUGAACAAUACCCCUGUACUGUUCACGCUGACCUGUAUUUGCUCGUGCGUCACUCUUGUACUUUUACCUUCUAUCAAGCCAAAGGUACUUUUGUAAUUCCAUAUCAUUUCUAUUUUUCCAUGAUAAUAAAGUGGGAAUGAGUUGAUAAUGUUAUAUAAUUGUUCAUGUUAUCUCUUAUAUUUCACAUGUUUCUCCUUUUAUUAACAUAUGCUGCGAUAAUGAAGGUAUGUCCUUCAUGACCUUCGUCUAAAGAUCAUUAUAUCCUAAGGGAAAUAAUGUUUCAAAGGACGAAGGGCAUUAACAUUUAAUAUUUCUGUGUUGCUUUGUUCUUAACUCAUAGCAUUUGAGAACAAGUCCCCAACACAUAAUAUUAGGUUUGAAUGAAGAUAACAUGGUUACAAACAUCCCACAGAUCUCAAAAGUUCACAAGGGUUACAUCAAUUAGGGGAAAGUACCCGUAAGCCUAGCCCAAAAUCUGCCAUUACAAAGCUUGUGUAGGUUUGUAUCAUCCUAAAGCAUCAAAACGACUUAUCAACCCUGAGUAGUAGAAGCGACACUAGAUGCGGGUGAAGGGGGCAUCGCGGAGGUAGUCCCAUUGGCACUAGGGGCUGGUCCUAACUCCUUAGAGCCUCUUCUCCCUCGCUUCCAGCCUCAUUGGCCUCCAUCUCUAAGUGGUGCAUGUCUAGGUGGUCAUUAGCUUCUUCAAGUUCCCGUUGCACAUCAUGGAGUUGGUUCUCCAAGACAUCAAUAGUGUUGUCUCGGAUCUCCACAUGCUGCUCCAAGGUGGUGAUGCGUUGGCUCAGCCUUUCCACCUGUAGGUCCUUCUCCACCAACUCAGAGGAUAAGUCGACCACAAAGUCUUCUCGGCUGUCGAGGGUGAGCUUGGUGGUUUGAGCGAGGUUAGCAAGAUGUGCCAUAGCGUCGCUCUGCAGUGCCUGAAGGCGAUACAGCGCACUCAUGCACUGAACAGUGACCCUCCCAACCAAGUCAGGAUACAUCGCCCAUACAUCCUUCACAUGGCUCACACGGUUGCACCACAUGGGGUCAUCCUUCUUCUCAGCAGGGAAGAGUACCAAGGGAUGCAUCACCAUCUCUAGGGGAUGGUAGCCACAGAAAAUCGUCAGAGUCUUCAUAGCUGCCGCUUUAGUGGUGUCAUCUGUCCUGAAUCCAAUCGUCUCGGAGUCAAGAGAACGCCAACCCGGCUGAAGGGGAUGAGCCUCCAAAGUCAGCCAGACUCGGCAACAUGGUACCCGAUGCUCCUCGUACAAUUGCACCGUGUACAAAGAGGGCGUAGGGUAACCGGCGGAGUUAAGCACUUCCCACAAGAUGGAAGGAAAGCCAUCGUGAGAAAGGAAAUCAGAGCUGAAACGAGUGUCUCCUCCAUUGGCGGGCGUAGGUGAGGUCAUCUGCGGAAGGGUAUCAGAUGUAAAGAUUAUGGUAGAAGAGGAAAAAUAAAAAGAACCUAGGUGGUUUUAAAGGAAGUGGGUUAGCUCAAAUUUUUACCUCAUCAGUUUUAUUCCUUUUAGUUUUAUAAUGCAUGCAUGCUGAAAAUAACGUCUCCUCUCCGAAUAAAAGGGUGCUUUAAGGCAUCCUUUAAAAAGUUAAGAACUGUCCCAUAGGGCCUACUUACUUAGCCACCUAUUUCUCCCUUUAUCCCUAAGGCCUUUCGUCCUAUGUCUAGCGUUCUAGUCCUGACGAUUCAUACUAGUUUCUAAGCAAGUUUUAGAUUUUUGAAAAUUGGUAUUCAUGGUUUAUUGUGCUUCUCUGUGGUGGUAUUUGCUCCGAUACCAGCUGUGACAGAACCACCCGAAUUAUUUCAGCUUAAGUGCCUAAGUCACACCUCAGGGGCCGUAACACACUUAAAUCGAAAUAACCCAUUAGUCCCUCAGAUCUAGUCUGAUUGAGCCACUUAACUAGGAUCAAAUACCACAUAGUCACUCGAAGGUGAGUCACAGAAGAAAUACAAUAAAACAGGAAAACCUCAAAUAUAAGUACUGGAGUUAUUACAUAAAUCGGAGUUUUUCAAGUAGCUGAUAUAAGUUCACAAAAUAAAAUGGAGCGGAUUAUCGAUAUCGUCGAUAGCGAGAAAUUGGGCAAGGCCUAGCCCACUACUCCUCUUGCUCCUCUCCUGCCAGAACAACAUCCCACUCGACCGUCCAACCCGGUGGCAGGGUGGUAGGCCAAGUCACACCAUCAACUAUAUCCUGAAGCGUACCUGCAAAAAUUAUGCCACAAGCAAGGCUGAGUAUACUAAUACUCAGCUAGACUUACCCGGUGUGAGGAGUCUACCCUUCUACCUCUAGACCAUGCAGUCGUUUGGUUGAGGGGUUUGGUUUGCCAAAAGCACUAGCUGAGUCUAAAACCAAUUUUUAGCUUUUCCAAUUCUAGUAUCAUUAAUUUAGCUAAGUUUGCUCUUUCUAUGCAUACAUGGUAACAAUCAUUUAAUACAAUCAACAUGUUAUCUCAUGUAAUCCUCAUUUCACUUCUUACUCAAUGUAGUACAAGGGGUCAAGCAGUCUCAUUAGCUGCGAGUAGCAGACAAUUCGAAUCGAGUUUUAAAACCUUGCAAGGUAAACCUAAACACACGACAUGUCAGGGCUCUCCGUCCCCACACAUGUCAACUGUCCCCAUCGAUUCCCCGUUCGUGGCCAGGCCUCACCGCCUUAGCAUACAAUUCUCCACUGACCCCGGCUGCCGCCGUGCAGUGACCACACUUGUACUCACCAUAGCUAGCAUGGGAGACCCAGUAUCAGGUCGCGUGAGGGGUAAAGUCUGCGCCCGGGUUCACUCAGGUACUAGGUUUACCGAUUACCAUAUUUCCUGACAUGUGCUUAGUACAUUCAAACGCUUGACUCAGGUAUCCACACAUUAAUCCUUAAUUCCUUUUUCUGUCUUAUGGACAAGGCAUCCUCCCUGGAUCCAAGUCCAUAGACCAUCAUAGAUCCCGUUAUCAAGAUGAAUAUAAUCAAGUCCUGACCUCGCGCGAGUGCUAGAAAAAUCACUCGACUUCUACCGAGAUCCUGAUUAGCAAAGCAGCUACUCGACCUAGCAUAUUAGUAUCCAUCUCAAAAAGGAAUCCUGAGUUCAUGCAACUAGAGGUUUCAAGCAACUCCUACACUUAAGUGCACAUCACAAGCCUACAAACAUUAAGUGUAGUAAAGUAGCAUAUAUAGAUACGGUUAUGCAUAAAACCGGGGCUUGCCUUCAAUAGCUGGGGCUACGGGGAGAUCCUCGAUGGUAGUCUCGGAAGCUUGCUCCUGGUCUUCCUCAUGGACAGCUCCUUGAUCAGGGAUGAGCACAUACUCUCCAUCAGCGAGAUUGCAAUCUAAUGAAUGCAAUGAGUAAGAUAGAUGCAUGGCAUGGUAUGUAAUUUACAAUUAAGAUUUGAUGGGGGAUGAUCAAUUUAAUAAGGUAGGGCUUAUUCUUACUACUGAAGGUUUUUGUGGUACACUUAACAAAUUAGGGUCAAGCUUGGUUAAGCUAAUUGGUAAGUUCAUUUUGGUGUUCCACUGAUUUAUUUUUAAUGUCUUAGUCAGAGUUUAAUAAGAUUUCUAGCUGAAUUCAUUGGAGUGAGAUUUAUUUCCCCUCUCUUCCUUUCUAUUUCUUUUAUGCUUUUAAGGUGGGUUUGAACUACAAGACAACUUAAUAAAUUUCCAAAACUUCUGCAAAAAUUACAGUGGCUUCUUACUGGUGUAUAAUUUUCUGUCUCAAAAAUUGGGGCUUAAAAAUUGAGGGGUUCUCUCUGUAUAAAAUUAUCAAAUAAUAGGGCAGAGGGGUGUUUUGAACUACAACUACCUUUUAACAGUAGGUUAUUCUCUAAGACAUAUUUUUGCUGGCAUUUAGAUGUUAUAACAUGACUUUGUACAAAUUUUUAGAUACUAAUACUUAUUAGUUAUUUUGUUAUGAUUUUCUAAAGUUUCUAGCCAAAGGGGUGCUUUUUACUACCACUAUACUUGAAAAAUAUCAAACAACAGACUUUUAACAGUAGGUUAUUCUCUAAGACAUAUUUUUGCUGGCAAUGGGUAUUAUUUUGUAACUUUCAAUUAGGUUUUGCAUUUUUCUCGAUGGCCUACUUCAUUAUUAAUCUGGUAAAAAUUUAUUUGCCCAUUAUUGCACACUUUUUGGCUUGCUUAUGGUUUAAUUGGAAUAUGGCUCAGUAUCAAGUUCUAUUUGUUUAAUCUACUUAAAAUGAUGGACUAGGGUAUUUAUCAUUUUUGUAGUGGUGUCCUAGUGGUUACAAGUCUACUGAAUUUUUCUUAACAAUUUUGAAAUUGUUUUCAUAAUUCUAAUAAUUGUCUUUCUAGUUUGAUUAGUGCCUAAUAAAACAUUUCUCCUUGAAUUUUUUCUAGACUAGGGUUCCCUUUAUUUUUCCUAGGUUCUCUAUUACUUAAGUGGACUAGGAAAAAUAUUUGCAUUCACUGUUCAUAAUUUUCCAAUGCCUUUCUCAUUUUCAUAAGUUUUGGGCAAACAUGGCUUUUACUAAAUAACCUUGUUUAAAUCUUCAAUACUAGGGUGCUUACUAUUUUUAAACAGUGCCUAAGUGGGGUUUACACUUCUACAAAUUUUCUUAAGUUCAGCACAGAAGCAUAACUAAUUUUUUUUAUUUUAAUAUGGUUUGGUUAGUUUCCUUAAUUAAUUCCAAACUCUAAAAUUUAAAACAAAAAGCACAGAGUUCACUAUUUUUAUAUGACAGUUCAUAAUAUUUUGAGUCUAGUAAAAUUGGUUUGACUAGAUUUGGCUAAAUAUUUCUCAAGAUAUAAAUUUUCUAAUUUCUCUGCUGAAUUUAAAAAGAUUAAUUAGAAAUGGAUAAAGGAAAAAUGGUUUUGCACUCAGGUCCCUGGCGAAAGGUUUUAAACGUAUUACAGACAGGUCCUCGGUUCACUAUUCAUCUGGGUCUAUGACUCUGCAGAAAACCCCCUAGGGUUUCCCGAAAUCGAACCCACGAUCCUUCCCCUAAUGGAAUAGUGACCGCGGUGGAGGAAAAGGGCGAAGGGGCUUACCGGCGGCGAGGUUGCUCCGGUGAGGGGUCGGGCGAGGUCGGGUAGUCUCUAGCGAUCACGUCGAGGUGCGGAUCGCUGGUGAUGAUGGUCGGAGUAGGUCGGUCCACACGCGCAGGCGGGGGAGCUCGUCGGCGGCGAGGAAUCCGGCCUAACGAGGGCGCGAUAGAUCAAUUAAAUGGGUCAGGGAGCUUCACCAGAGGUCAAGGAAGAUGUGAGUGCGAAGAAUUUGAGAAUGGCUCACCAGAUUGCUCGGUCUACGUGCGGCCGCGGGCGACCGAAGUCCAGCGAAGGCGAUCUUGGGUCUCCGGUGAGGUUCUGCCGGGUCUGAGAGCUUGGAAAGCUUUAUGGGCCACUUGCGAAGCUAACCGAGGGAUAGGCACGGCUUGGACGCGGCUGGAGCGAGCUGGCCGUGGUGGCCGAGGCUUGGGCAGUGAUGGCAGGCAGAGGAAAGUGUCACACCCGGCUUUAAGGAACAAAGCCAGGUGUAUCUCAUACAUGCGCCAAGAAGACAACAUGAUAAUAACAGAGUGUAUAGAGAUAAAUGUCACAAUAACAUCAGAGUAUUUAUUACAUAGCGGAAGUCUUAUUACAAAAUAAAAGAUAAAUAUAAAAGGAACUAAGGAUCAUCCUUGGCGCAAGAGUCAACUGGGGAAACACCACCUAGAUCAGAUCAAACUCCUCGCUUUGUGGCUCCUCCUGAACCACAUGUUCUUCUCCAGUGGGGGGUGUGAGACAGCAAGGGUGAGCUCACACAUGAUCAUAGCUCAACAAGUUGUGGGGAACUAGUGGGCAUGAACUCACCAAAGGUGGGAGUUCAUGUGAUAUGUAAGGCUAAUCAAUGACAGGGGGUUAAAGCUGAGCAUUGCUUUUAAGUAGUUGGUCAAAAUUUUAUUAGCAGUUACUAAAUGUAAGUAAAUACCAAACCUUAAGUAAAGUAAGAGAACAAAAUUAAUACAUAAUCCCAUGCAAUGCAAAUGAAAAAUUAAAUUUAAGUUCCAUAAAUUAUUCAUCGGAGAGUCCUGUGCUGCUCAUGACCGUGAGCUCGGCUAGUAUACCAGUUUUACACUCUGCAGAGGUUGUACCCUGUACCCACAAGUCGUGUAUCCCAUGUCGCCAGGGUUAGCUAGACCCUUAGACACUACCGAGGUGAAUGGCUAUGGAUCCACUAGCUUCUGAAAACCUGCUACAGUUUAUGGGAAGAGCACUUGCAAGCCCCGUCUGACCGCCAUCGCAGCAAAAUCAACUCGAGAACCUCCUUGCAUGCAAUCCCCUACUGCCCUUGCCCCUUUCGGGUAAGGUAGUCUUCCACUAGCUUUCCUAGUUAGUUGGCCAAGGGUAUCCCAUUAAACCCUUGUGGUGGCACAUGUUUCUCAAGUUAAGCUCUAUGUUCCAAUUAACAUUAAUGAUCUUGACAUGAGCAUAAAUAGAAUAACAAAAUAAUUGAAACAUGGAUAUAAUAAAAUAUUAUCCCAAAACCAUGUAAAGCGAUAACAACACUACCCAAGUGAUUCAGGGAUAACAAGGUAAAGAGAUAAACAAUCUAGGGUGACCUAUCGGGUCUCAUCAAAAUUAAGCCUAUCCAUGGUAAAUGAUUAUAAAGAACAUUAUUGGUUAACAAAAGUGGUCAAGGGCACAACUUGCCUUAAAUGAGCUCCUGCUCAGCUACUUCUAUCUGCUGGUCACCAGGAUCCUCAGUCACAGGUUCUUCUACUCGCCACAAUACAAACAAGCACAGUAUAUAAGGAAAAUUAACAUCACACCAAACAUAUAAACAAAAUACAUAAUAAUAAUCUACACAUUAAAAUAAAAUCCUAUGAAUAGGAAUCAUAAUUUUUGGAGUUAUAGAUUUUGAGAUAUGAAUUUUUGAAGGCUUUAUGUGCUUAAAAUAGGAUUAAAUGAGAAAUUAUUUUUCUUACUCUUUUCAUGACAAAACAGAGACUCUAAAUGACAGAUAAUAAUAUUACAAAAUUUUAGAAAUUGGAAUGGGUCAAUUUGGACUAAAAAUAGAUUUUCUGCAAAUUAAACAAGUUUCUGCAAUUAAUUUAAUACUAAAAAUCUAUUUCUAAAUUCAUUUCUCUGAUUUUUCUUAUUCUCUGGACUGGGUCUCAAAUCCUGGAAAGUCCAGGGGUCUCGGGGUAAUAUUUCUAAGAGACAAGGAACACUCGUAAUUGGACUGCAGGUUGAUUUCUUGUUUACCAGAGGGCUCUUUAGCAAAUGUGUUGGCCGAAGGGGUACGUAGAGAUCCUGGCUGUUGGAUUAGCGAUUAACUGCGGGGAUUAAAUCCAUUUAUUUGUCAAACCGGUAUCUACUGGUGACCACUAGAUCCAAAAUCAACGGCCAUGAUUCAAAAUCUCCUAGAUCUAAUCCUAGCCACAGGUUCUAGUGUCUUCUCCUAUCCCGAACACCCCAGGCGGUGGGGCUGGCCCCACGGCCGUGCAGCCCAGCGAGGUACCCUGCCAAGCGAUUCAACGCACUAGAGCCCAACCCGAAAAGUGCUACACAACACAAAGUUCAUGGUGAAACAAAGGGUAGGACCUUACUUGCAAACGUGUAGCAUGGUGCCCCGGCGUCGUGCAUGGUGGCUCGGCGGUGAAGGAGGACCUUCAGAGAAGAAUUCCGGCGACUCUAACCAAGCUCAGGAUGUUCAUGCCCUCACACAGCGUGCCCCAGCGAUGCACCCUGGCCACCCUGAGACUUUAAACAGCAGUCAUCGAUCUGAUCGAUGAUGGCGGCUCCUGCUGGCUUCCCAUUGGUUUCCGCCCGUGCACGAGAUUGUGGCCGAGACUUGGGAUUUCAGGUCUACUCUAUCGCUUUUAUAUCCUGGGCAGAGGCUAUAACAGCCCAGGAGAUUCUGGUGUGGGGUUUGUUAUGAUCGCGUCAUGGUUUGUUGGAGAUAAUCACGCUGGAUUUCUGGUUGGUGGCGCUCUGUUAAUGUGUGGAGGAGCUACUACUUACGAAGCUGGUCCACACAGCAGCGGAACACCUGAGCGCACUGACUUCUC